RNAcentral lists this ribosomal RNA (497 nucleotides) under uncultured bacterium. Its description in RNAcentral is "partial 16S ribosomal RNA". It matches the Rfam family "Bacterial small subunit ribosomal RNA", at positions 28 to 507 of the family's 1533-position model. The record is from RNAcentral.
GACGAACGCUGGCGGCGUGCCUAAUACAUGCAAGUUGAGCGAUGAAGAUUGGUGCUUGCACCAAUUUGAAGAGCAGCGCACGGGUGAGUAACGCGUGGGGAAUCUGCCUUUGAGCGGGGGACAACAUUUGGAAACGAAUGCUAAUACCGCAUAACAACUUUAAACAUAAGUUUUAAGUUUGAAAGAUGCAAUUGCAUCACUCAAAGAUGAUCCCGCGUUGUAUUAGCUAGUUGGUGAGGUAAAGGCUCACCAAGGCGAUGAUACAUAGCCGACCUGAGAGGGUGGUCGGCCACAUUGGGACUGAGACACGGCCCAAACUCCUACGGGAGGCAGCAGUAGGGAAUCUUCGGCAAGGGACGAAAGUCUGACCGAGCAACGCCGCGUGAGUGAAGAAGGUUGUCGGAUCGGAAAACUCUGUUGGUAGAGAAGAACGUUGGUGAGAGUGGAAAGCUCAUCAAGUGACGGUAACUACCCAGAAAGGGACGGCUAACUACGUG